RNAcentral lists this transfer RNA (32 nucleotides) under Fluviphylax simplex. RNAcentral's name for it is "partial tRNA-Asn". The record is from RNAcentral. Lineage: Eukaryota; Metazoa; Chordata; Actinopteri; Cyprinodontiformes; Fluviphylacidae.
AGAAUUUAUAGGAUCGAGGCCUUUCUAUCUAG